GGCGGCGGCAGGGCUGGGCCGGGCGGAGGGGCCCGUGCCGAUGAGCGGUGUCGGGCUGGAAGCGGUCAUCGCGCGGCCGGAUAACGUCGGACGCGGCUCCCGCAGGGUGAGAGCUUAGCGCAGCAAUGAAGUUGGGAGAAAUGUAACUCAGUUCGCCUUUAAAUGCUGCAGAAGGCAAUAUGGAUAUCUGAGCUGCAGAUAAAUUUGCAAAGUAGGAAACUGCUCAUUGUAAGAAAUCUUCUCUUGGCUGCUAAAUGUUUAAAAUCCUUCCUUUGAAAUGAAUACAGCAGUUCUUGUGAUGGUUCUGCAGACACUGCAUAUACCAAAUGGAUCUUGGAGACAUGCACAACGUGAGGAAAAUACUGCAUCCAUCUCACAGUCUCUGGUUGCCACGGCAAAGACAGCCAUGUUUCCAGGAAAAGACAAUUCUGUGGCCCCUCUCCAAGUCACCCGCAGACUGCUGGAGGCUUGAGCUGGAGAGUGCUCCUGUGCCUGCAGCUGAGACACUUUCUAAGAAGAGAUGAGGGGACGAGGCCUCAGGCGUGGACUGCUGUUAUCUCCCAACAAACAAGCAAGGAGGGACACAGCCUUGGGAAAGCACAUGCAGCACAGAAUCAAGGUGCAGAUAAGAGCAGAAUGUACAGGAUUUAAAAUUCUUGGCCCUGUGAAGCACAACAAGCAUCUGCAAAGAGCUAGUCUCUGUUCUUGGGAUUGAGGCUGAUUGCCAAGCCAAUGGUUUAAGGGCCUGCAGUGUCCCUCCAAAUAUUUAGGGAGACUCCUGGCUGCUCGAUGGCAUUGGUGUGGACUAUAAUGCCCAUGGAUAUUGGAGUUUCCCAAGAGUUGUUCAGACAGGAGCUGGUAGUGAUGGCUUCCAGAUCUGCUCUCAGGGAUAAAGCUUCUCAUGGCUCUGUGUGGUAGAGCCUGGGCCGGAGAGCUGCGUGGCCAUGCGCUCCAGCACUUGGCUUCGGCAGCAGUCAAACACAAAUGUGCAUGGAUCUGCUGGCAAGGAACUGUGGUGGGGAAGGCCUGGGCUGGGCAGUGCAAGGGCUUGUCUGCAAACAGUGCCAGUAGGCAGCAACUCACAUGUGUGGGGCCAGCAGGCCAAGUGCAGAGCAGAACCGCCUCCCCGUGAGCCUGUGAGCAGGAGCACAGCACCUGCAGUGCCCUGCCAGGUCUGGCAGCCUUCCCUUGUUCUGCCCCCCAUGUGCAAUGACACAGGUAGCUGGGCUCACAGCUCAGCAGCAGCAGGAUAGGCUCCAGUGUGUGAGUUCAGCAACGCGUGAACUCCCCACGCGUUCAGCAAAGAGGGAAUCUGGUGCUUUGUGUUUUCAGAAUAAACCAUGGCUCUGUUCCAUCUCCAUGUUUAGGGAAUACAGACUACUGCUGUGACUGUGAUCUGACUUCAUCUUGCAACCCUAUGUGGCCCUGGGGUAGCCUGAAGAUCUUCUGGCAGUUACAGACAUUUCCCCAGAGGGCCUCUGUUUGGGUUCAUUUCCCAGGUUGUGGAAAGUAACU
Long non-coding RNA from Lagopus muta (rock ptarmigan), 1515 nucleotides. RefSeq lists it as uncharacterized. The transcript has 4 exons. The record is from RefSeq and is a predicted model, not a curated record. Lineage: Eukaryota; Metazoa; Chordata; Aves; Galliformes; Phasianidae.